This 71-nucleotide transfer RNA is filed under the name Gammaproteobacteria bacterium. RNAcentral's name for it is "tRNA-Cys". It matches the Rfam family "tRNA". Rfam says of the family: Transfer RNA (tRNA) molecules are approximately 80 nucleotides in length. Their secondary structure includes four short double-helical elements and three loops (D, anti-codon, and T loops). Further hydrogen bonds mediate the characteristic L-shaped molecular structure. tRNAs have two regions of fundamental functional importance: the anti-codon, which is responsible for specific mRNA codon recognition, and the 3' end, to which the tRNAs corresponding amino acid is attached (by aminoacyl-tRNA synthetases). tRNAs cope with the degeneracy of the genetic code in two manners: having more than one tRNA (with a specific anti-codon) for a particular amino acid; and 'wobble' base-pairing, i.e. permitting non-standard base-pairing at the 3rd anti-codon position. The record is from RNAcentral. Lineage: Bacteria; Pseudomonadati; Pseudomonadota; Gammaproteobacteria. RNAcentral also lists the same sequence under 3 other names.
GGCUAAGUGGCAGAGUGGUAAUGCAGCGGCCUGCAAAGCCGUCAACGCCGGUUCGAUUCCGACCUUAGCCU